GACGAACGCUGGCGGCGUGCUUAACACAUGCAAGUCGAACGGAAAGGCCCUGCUCUUGUGGGGUGCUCGAUUGGCGAACGGGUGAGUAACACGUGAGUAACCUGCCCUUGACUUUGGGAUAACUUCACGAAACUGGGGCUAAUACCGGAUAGGAUCUCCUGCUGCACGGUGUGGGUUGGAAAGUUUCGGCGGUUGGGGAUGGACUCGCGGCUUAUCAGCUUGUUGGUGUGGUAGUGGCUUUCCAAGGCUAUGACGGGUAGCCGGCCUGAGAGGGUGAACGGCGACAUUGGGACUGAGGUACGGCCCAGACGGCUACGGGAGGCAGCAGUGGGGAAUAUUGCACAAUGGGCGGAAGCCUGAUGCAGAAGCGCCGCGUGCGGGAUGACGGCCUUCGGGUGGUAAACCGCUUUCGCCGGUGACGAAGAGUGAGUGACGGUAAUGGGUAAAGAAGCACCGGCUAACUACGUG
Molecule: ribosomal RNA, 468 nt
Filed under: uncultured bacterium
Lineage: Bacteria
Description: partial 16S ribosomal RNA
Rfam family: Bacterial small subunit ribosomal RNA
Source: RNAcentral